UAGGGAAUCUUCGGCAAUGGGGGGAACCCUGACCGAGCAACGCCGCGUGAGUGAAGAAGGUUUUCGGAUCGUAAAGCUCUGUUGUUAAGGAAGAACGAGUGUGAGAAUGGAAAGUUCAUACUGUGACGGUACUUAACCAGAAAGGGACGGCUAACUACGUGCCAGCAGCCGCGGUAAUACGUAGGUCCCGAGCGUUGUCCGGAUUUAUUGGGCGUAAAGCGAGCGCAGGCGGUUAGAUAAGUCUGAAGUUAAAGGCAGUGGCUCAACCAUUGUAGGCUUUGGAAACUGUUUAACUUGAGUGCAGAAGGGGAGAGUGGAAUUCCAUGUGUAGCGGUGAAAUGCGUAGAUAUAUGGAGGAACUCCGGUGGCGAAAGCGGCUCUCUGGUCUGUAACUGACGCUGAGGCUCGAAAGCGUGGGGAGCGAACAGG
This 429-nucleotide ribosomal RNA is filed under the name Bacteroidota bacterium. Its description in RNAcentral is "Bacteroidetes bacterium partial 16S ribosomal RNA". It matches the Rfam family "Bacterial small subunit ribosomal RNA", at positions 355 to 776 of the family's 1533-position model. Lineage: Bacteria; Pseudomonadati; Bacteroidota. The record is from RNAcentral.